This 292-nucleotide small RNA is filed under the name Basidiobolus meristosporus CBS 931.73. RNAcentral describes it as "5' ureB small RNA". It matches the Rfam family "5' ureB small RNA". Lineage: Eukaryota; Fungi; Basidiobolomycota; Basidiobolomycetes; Basidiobolales; Basidiobolaceae. The record is from Rfam by way of RNAcentral.
CUUCAGCGAGUUGAGGACAGAUGAAGUGAACGUGGGUAUCGAUGGCACCAGCAGUGAAGAUGUGACCUUCACCAGCCAAAGCCUCGGUAGAGGCACCGACCACCAUGCCUGGAGUAACGUUGUCCAUGACAUCGGGGUUACCGGCCUUACCAAUACCAACAAUCAUGGAAUCCUUGAUACCGAUAUCAGCCUUGACGAUACCAGAGUGAUCCAAGAUGACACAGUUGGUGAUGACCAAAUCGAGGCAAUCAUCAUCGGAAACAGCGGUCUUUUGGCCCAUACCUUCACGGAG